RNAcentral lists this ribosomal RNA (462 nucleotides) under uncultured bacterium. Its description in RNAcentral is "partial 16S ribosomal RNA". It matches the Rfam family "Bacterial small subunit ribosomal RNA", at positions 28 to 507 of the family's 1533-position model. The record is from RNAcentral.
GACGAACGCUGGCGGCGUGCUUAACACAUGCAAGUCGAACGGUGAAGCCCUUCGGGGUGGAUCAGUUGCGAACGGGUGAGUAACACUUGAGCAACCUGCCCCUGGCUCUGGGAUAACCACUGCAAACGGUGGCUAAUACCGGAUACGACUCGCCUCUCCAUCGAGUUUGGGGGGGAUGUUUUGCGGCUGGGGAUGGGCUCGCGGCCUAUCAGCUUGUUGGUGUGGUGAAGGCUCACCAAGGCGACGACGGGUAGCCGGCCUGAGAGGGCGACCGGCCACACUGGGACUGAGACACGGCCCAGACUCCUACGGGAGGCAGCAGUGGGGAAUAUUGCACAAUGGGCGAAAGCCUGAUGCAGCGACGCCGCGUGAGGGAUGACGGCCUUCGGGUUGUAAACCGCUUUCAGCUGCGAAGAAGCGAAAGUGACGGUAAGAGGAGAAGAAGCACCGGCUAACUACGUG